UAGGAAAAGGCUAUUGCUUUCCCCAAAUCACGCUGACAACAAAAUCCCUUGUCUCUGUUAUCUAUACGCGGCUGUCAUUUGGGGUGAUUUGGGUAAGGUGAGCAGGGGAGAUCCAGGGCGAACACGACGUGCUGCUCGACCUCGUCAUGGCCGGCGCGGCCGUGGCGACGGUGCUGGAGGUUGGUGGCGCGAAGGAGGUAGUUACCAAGCUGACGAAGGGUGCACUGGUUCGCAGAUUUCCCAGCAAUUUUGUGCGUUCCAGUCUUCCCAGCCAUUUCUGAGUCGAGGAGGGGACCGCGCGUUCGAGCAGUUGUUCUUGCGCAUCUCGCCGUCGCUGAUUUGGAAAGGUGGAUGCCGGUCGCCGGGGAGGUCACGGGUGCUGGCGGAGAGCUUUUUCGCUUAGGCUGAUGAAGAGCGACAGAUUUCCCGUCCAAUGAGCGGUGAGAGAUCUCACGGAGGAUGGAGUACCGGUUCAUGGAUUUCCUGGACAAAAUUGUUCUACUUGGUGAAGCUACUGGUGCCAGAGCAUCAAUACCAUGGCGGCAUAGGACAGAAAAUAAUUGUUGACCAAGGCAGACUAAUGGAGAAUGGUUGGAUCCUGAGGCACAGUACAGAGGGGGGACUACUGCUAUGGUCCAUUAGAGGUGUGGGGGUAACAGAGGCAGAUUUGUAUGAGGAGAUAGCGAAAUAAUAAAUAGCACGAAGAUGUGAGCAGCAUGUGUGGGCGGCCACUAUGUUGUUGCCCUCCUCAUUGCCAGUGUUGUUGGACUUCUACCAAAUGUAAGUGCUGAUGAUAAGCAUCAUUCUAAUGCAUAUUAUGGCUUAUAGUUCAUACAUAGCGCUAUAAAGUGGGUUUUUUAUUUGCUGUUACCUUGUCCUAGCAAGAAGGUUUUAACUUGUUAAUUGUAAAAAAAAAUCAUGUGUCAAUUGAGAUA
Molecule: long non-coding RNA, 935 nt
Organism: Triticum aestivum (bread wheat)
Lineage: Eukaryota; Viridiplantae; Streptophyta; Magnoliopsida; Poales; Poaceae
Exons: 2
Source: RefSeq, a predicted model, not a curated record